This 1162-nucleotide long non-coding RNA is filed under the name Piliocolobus tephrosceles (Ugandan red Colobus). RNAcentral describes it as "lncRNA (ENSPTEG00000036212.1)". The record is from RNAcentral. Lineage: Eukaryota; Metazoa; Chordata; Mammalia; Primates; Cercopithecidae.
CAGACACCGGCGGCCGCUCUACUUCGCCGGGCUGUUUCAGCACCCCGCGCAAGAAGAGCGGAGGAGCAGGAGCAGGCGCGGACGCCAGCAGCAAGCUGCGCGCGCAGGUCAGGAAGGAAGAAGGCGUCGUCGGCUCCGCCCCUUCUGGGAGGUGCCGUUGCCGGCGCUCCCUGCCCAGGACUGGGGCGGGGCCAGGGCCGCCGCGCCCUCGCUUCAAGGUUCCCUGCUUUGCCCUUCUCCUCAGCCCCUGCAAUCCUCGGGGGCCAGGCGCGGGACUUAUGGAGUCUGGCUGGGCCCAGGAGAGUUAUCUGUGGAGCUGUGCAAACAGUUUCUGGCCGUGAUGUUUCCCCUUUUCGUCUGUGGGUUGGAGGGGGCGGACGAGGUUUCAGCGAAGGGUAGAGCUGUUCUGGGCGACUUCCGGGCUCCAGCUCCUGGUGCCCCCACUGAGGAUCAAAUCGCGUGUAUGCCUUCAUGCAGGGAGCUUCAAACGGCCAUCCCUAGACCAGCAGAGGAGCAUCUCCUUGGAAUUUGUUAGAAAUGUAAAUUCUCAGCCCGGGCAAUGUAGCAAGACUCCCUCUAUAAAAAAAAAAAAAAAAAAAAAAAAAAAUUGUAAAGUUAGUUGGGCUUGGUGGCACACACCUGUAGUCUCAGCUACUAGGGAGGCUGAGGCAGGAGGAUUGCUUGAGCCCAGGAGGCUAUGGUGAGCUAUGAUCAUGCUGCUGCACUCCAGCCUGGGUGAUAGAACAAGACCCUGUCUCAAAGAGAGACAGAGAAAGAGAGAAGAAAAUGUUAGAGUAGUUAUUUCCAAGUUUAUGAAUUACUUUGAAGGUUCUAAGUUUCCAUAACCCUGCUUGGGGAAGAAGAAUUCUGGUUCCUGUGACUUACUUCGGGGUGCAAGCGGGCUGGAGACAGGAGGGCAGGAGAAGGUCAUGGGUAGACUUUGUUUCUGAGGCUGCUUCUGAGACCUUCCAGUCUCCUUUAGUUCAAAGUACUUAGCAUGCCAAAGCCUCCUACUUUGGGGUACUGUUUUCUGAGCUCCAGUGGUUGAGAUCUGGAGACUUUUUUGUUUGUUGAAAGAAUAUUAAAUACCAUCUUCAUAAGGACUAUUCAAUGUUGACCUCAGAGCAAUAAAGUAGAAAACAGGGAAAAAUGAAAUUAUUAG